GGCUGGGUAGCUCAGUGGAUUGUGAGCCAAGCCUAGAGGUGGGAGGUCCUAGGUUCGAAUCCUGCCUCAGCCA
RNAcentral lists this transfer RNA (73 nucleotides) under Monodelphis domestica (gray short-tailed opossum). It matches the Rfam family "tRNA". Rfam says of the family: Transfer RNA (tRNA) molecules are approximately 80 nucleotides in length. Lineage: Eukaryota; Metazoa; Chordata; Mammalia; Didelphimorphia; Didelphidae. The record is from Rfam by way of RNAcentral.